CUGUGUAAUUGUGUGUGAAAAGGGCAAACAAUUGCGCUUAUUAAGAUUUUUGAUCAAUUCGAAUAUUUCUUAUUAAGUUAUGUGUAAGCAAACACUCGAGCAAGUUUGUUGUCUCGCAGCAGCUGUCUACUUAAUACAAAAAUUCGCAACCCCAACAAGUUUUAUUAACGUUGAAACUUUGUGCAUAUUGCAUGCAUCAAAUGGCAUAACAACAGCAACAACAACAACAACAACAAGGAUAACAAACUUCUUCACUUGCAACAUUUUUUAUGACAAAGAAUGAAAUGAGAUGAAAUUAUUGACGGGAGAAAAAAAUAACGGAAAUCGCUGGCAAUAGUCAAAGGAAAUAAAAGCGAAAUUACUUUUGAUAAAGCAACAACAAGAAGAAGCAAAUACGAAAGGAAGAAGAUGAGCAAGGACUUACACUAAAACUACACAUACACACACGCACACACGCACACGCUCACACUCGUAAAAAGGCAGCAGGAAGUUAAAUAGAAGAGGGCGUUGAUUUGUCACAACUAGAGAAUUAUGAGAGCUACGAUGCGUGGACUGUGCCAGCUGCCUGCAACAACAACAACAACAAUAACAACAACAGGAGCAACGACAACAAACACUUCAAUUACCGGAAAACGUGUCUGAUAAUACCUCCCGAGAUUUCAGCCCAGCAGCCAACAAGAAAAAAACUUCUGUAUAUAGUUUAUACCCUGUAAAUAAUGAAAGCUUGGAUAUGUUGAGUUGCUGGGAAUAUAAAAGAGAUCUGAAAACGAGCUUACCUCACACUCCACUUCAACCGCUAACGAAGCGCUCAACUGUCACAACAACAGUUCCACAUGUGAGCAAUAAUCCUCAGCAGAAACCGCUCAGCGAACUGCGACGCCGGGACAUAUGCAAAAAGCACAGGACCUCAACGGAAGGAUACGCAAAAUGGCAUAAAAAAGAGAGCAUAUCUAUAAAUGUAUCUACAGAGCAACAGGAAGCACGUGGAAACGUAUGCAAAACACACGAUCUUAACCCCUUGUUGCCGCAUGCAUUUCCUUUGCAGCUCAUAUGUGAGCAUGAGCGAGUGUGUGUGUGUGUGUGCGUGUGUGUGGCGACAUGAUUUUGAUUUAGUGGCACUUUCAAGGCACAAACACUCCACACAACCCACGCAUGGCCCGUCGGCCUGCCUAUAAAUUCAAUUUGCGUAUUUCUUGAUGCAGAAAUGCGUCAACGGCAGCCCGGAAACUCGGAUAAAAAAGUGAGCAAAGUGGCGUCUGGCAGAGCGACAACUUAAUGCACUACCAAUUAUAACUCAAUUUUCAUAAAUAAGACGACGCACAAAAAAAAAACACAACACGCAGGAGCUGAGAGCCAGGGCUAAAAAGGGGUUUCGGCUUCGAUACGCCUUGACAACUUUAUGCUUUGAUUUUGGUACUGGCAAAAAAAAUAAAAAUUGAGGGAAAUUUAUGAAAUAUGAAACAACCGCAUGUGUGUAAACAGUUGGUUGAGUGAGAGUGAAAGGCCAUAAAGCAGGCAUAGGGGAAGGAGCAGAGGCAGGAGAAGGAGCAGCAACAAAGGCAGAGGUAGAGGUAGGGCAGGAGUCGAAACAGAGUCAGUGGCAAGAGCAGGAGUGUUGGAGGCCUUUGCAACCCCUCAACCCCUCUGCUCGUUAGGUCGUUUA
Molecule: long non-coding RNA, 1663 nt
Organism: Drosophila mojavensis
Lineage: Eukaryota; Metazoa; Arthropoda; Insecta; Diptera; Drosophilidae
Exons: 4
Source: RefSeq, a predicted model, not a curated record